AAAGAAUUAAAUAGUUAAAAAAGUUAAUGUAGCAAAAUUAUUUUAAAUAACUAUUUUGAAAUGAAAUGUUAUUCGUUUUUAAAGAUAUCUAGUUUUUUUAAAAAAAAAUUUAAUUUUAAAUUUAGUUUAAUAUGAAAUUAAUUAGUUAAUUUUAUUUUUAAUUAAAUUUUAUAAUUUAAGGGAUAAGCUUUAAAUUAAAUUUUUAUAAUAAAUAAUAUUUUAUUGAAAAUUUUAUAAUUUAUAUUGUUAAUAAAUUUUAAUUUAUUAUAAAUAAUUUCGUUAAAUGAAAAAUUUAAUAUUUGAUUUAAUUUUUUAUAAAAAAAAAUUUUUUUACAAAAAAAAAAUUAAAAUAAUAAUAAAAUUAGUAUAUUUAAAGAUAUAUUUUAAUUUAAAAUUAAAAUUAAAAUAAUUUAAUUAAUUAAAAAGAAUUCGGCAAAUAUUUAUAUUCACUUGUUUAACAAAAACAUGUCUUUUAGAAUUUAAUUUACAAGUCUAAUCUGCCCACUGAUAAUAAUUAAAGGGCUGCAGUAUUUUGACUGUACAAAGGUAGCAUAAUCAUUAGUCUCUUAAUUGGUGACUUGUAUGAAAGAUUGAAUGAAAUAUAUACUGUUUCUUAAUUAAUAUGUAGAAUUUAAUUUUUUUAUUAAAAAGUAAAAAUAGAUUAAAAAGACGAGAAGACCCUAUAGAGUUUUAUAAUUAAUUUUAUUAAAAAAUUAUUUAUAUAGUUAAAAUUUUUAUAAAAUUAAUUAUUUUAUUGGGGUGAUAAAAAAAUAAAUUUAACUUUUUAAAAUAAUUUACGAAAAUAAAUGAAUAACUGAUCCAAUUAUAUUGAUUACAAGAUUAAAUUACCUUAGGGAUAACAGCGUAAUUUUUUUUUUUAGUUCAAAUAAGAAAAAAAGUUUGCGACCUCGAUGUUGGAUUAAGAUAAAAUUUAAAUGCAAAAGUUUAAAAUUUUUG
Molecule: ribosomal RNA, 957 nt
Filed under: Angerona nigrisparsa
Lineage: Eukaryota; Metazoa; Arthropoda; Insecta; Lepidoptera; Geometridae
Description: partial 16S rRNA
Source: RNAcentral